AGAAUGUUGGUGUAAGAUAUGGAAAAUGACAAACCCCAAAAUAGUGUCGCCUGGGAAGAGGGAAUGAGCAAGAAGACAACACAUUGAUAACUUCGAUCCUCUCCCAAUACAUUCUUUCCCAGUGACAAGACAAGCCCUGGGGACGAGAUAUCAGUGGGAUACCACAAGUAAACUUUGAGCAUGUCUAAACCAUUUUGAAGCAGAGGUGUGCCCCUAAGAGAACUCUCAGGGUAAUCUCAUCAAUCUGAGGCUGCUUCAUUGCCUUGGAAAAUGUCCUGCUGAAAGAGAAUGCUGUGAUACCAUGGAAUUUAUUGGCUUGGACAGCCCCAUGUUCAAAUGCAACUCCCCAGAGAUAGAGAGAGACACAGUGCACCAACUACCCCUGUGGCACCAGCUACCUGAAGGAGGAAGAAUGACAGCCCAAAUGCCUGAUGACUUGAUUUUAAUCAAGACCCGGAGAGAAAAUAAUCUUCGAUCAAGCUGAAAGUGGCCGACCAAGUGCUCCUGACCACAGGAUGGCUAUGCAAACUGUUAAGAGAGGGAAAACUCACUGCCAGGGGGCAUUUCCACUCUAAACGGGUAUGUCUAGGAAAGAUGGCAAGACCAACGGGUACAAUGACAAUGAGACCAAAAGGUAUACAAAGAAAAAAUGGAGGGUGAUUGGAAAUAGGAAGUCUGGCGGUCCAUUCUCUUAAGGCGUUUGGCCUUGACUGGAUCCAUUUAGCCCUUUUAAUUGUUGCCCUUCCACUUUACCCGCCCCAGGGAUCUGCUGAAUCUGGACCAUCACACGGGGCAACAGAGUGGCUCUGGGGUAUCUCAGUGGUCUAGCGUUGCUGGCAUGGUGGAGGCCCUGAGCUCUAACCCAGUACAGCCCCAAACACAAACCAAAUAAAGCCCCAAAAGACAGGAAGGGGAGAACAUGGUCCAGGGCCUCAGUUUCCUUCUCUACAAAGUCUGGAGCUUGGAGUAGGUCAUCACAAGGUCCCACAGGCUCCCCAAUCUGAGCUUCCCUUGGUGUGACACUGUGCUCUGGCCCUUGGUGGAAGCUUUCUGCCCCCUGGAGGGCCAACAGAGGGCAGAGAAGACAGGAAGACAGAUGUGGGCCACAGCAGAAUGGUGCCCUAAGGGACCACUCAUCCUUGGAGGAGGAGAAAGACCACCUUAUUGGAGUCUCGGGGACCCAUGUGGAACUGGAACCCAAGUCCUUGUCCUGGCAGUGAUGAAAAGGCUUUGUGAGGACAAUGACUCCCAGGUCCAAUGAGAACUCUUGCAGAUGGCCUGUCAUAGGACCUCGUCAUUUCUGUUACAUUCCGUCUCUGAGGAGUAGAUCACAUUCCAGUGAAGAUUCCCAUCAUGAAAAGAACAACACGACAGAAGAAAUGUGUGAUACAUAAUAUCUAACUGUGAUGAGAUGUUUUACAUGGAUGUUGGACAUGAUGGAUGGAGAAAGAAGGGAGAUGCAAACAGAGAUGUGGGGUAGACCCAUCAUUUUUCAUGUCUUCGGGUGACACAGGCACAUCUUCCAGCUAGUGGAUGACCAUGUGUUUGUUUCUUGUAGAAGAUAUUCAUCAGCUUCCAAAUCAUAAUAAAGAAUAAAAGCAAAUAAGUAUUUUUAGACAAAUGAUCUACAUUAUUAAACGUGUUCUCUAGAUGACAAAACUUGCAAACCUUCUGCAAUAGGCAGUGUCAUGGAGGCAGGAAGUCAGGCACUGCCCCCCUGCUGGCCACAUGAGAAAAUGACAUGAAGAGUGUAGAGCUCCUUGAUUGUCAGCAAAAGUACACAAGCACAUAGAGGCCUUUAUUUCUGUGGUUUAAAAAUACAUAAGUGACUACCUUAUAUUUGAUAAAGGGGCUAAAAGCAUGCAAUGGAGGAAGGAUAGCAUCUUCAACAAAUGGUGCUGGGAAAACUGGAAAUCCAUAUGCAACAAAAUGAAACUGAAUCCCUUUCUCUCGCCAUGCACAAAAGUGAAUUCAAAAUGGAUCAAGGAGCUUGAUAUCAAAUCAGAGACACGCCGUCUGAUAGAAGAAAAAGUUGGCUACGAUCUACAUACUGUGGGGUCGGGCUCCAAAUUCCUCAAUAGGACACCCAUAGCACAAAAGUUAAUAACUAGAAUCAACAAAUGGGACUUACUCAAACUAAAAAGUUUUUUCUCAGCAAAAGACACAAUAAGAGGGGUAAAUAGAGAGCCUACAUCCUGGGAACAAAUCUUUACUCCUCACACUUCAGAUAGAGCCCUAAUAUCCAGAGUAUACAAAGAACUCAAAAAAUUAGACAAUAAGAUAACAAACAACCCAAUCAACAAAUCGGCCAAGGACCUGAACAGACACUUCUCAGAGGAGGACAUACAAUCAAUCAACAAGUACAUGAAAAAAUGCUCACCAUCUCUAGCACUCAGAGAAAUGCAAAUCAAAACCACCCUAAGAUACCAUCUCACUCCAGUUAGAUUGGCAGCCAUUAGGAAGUCAAACAACAACAAGUGCUGGCGAGGAUGUGGGGAAAAGGGUACACUUGUACAUUGCUGGUGGGACUGCAAAUUGGUGCAGCCAAUUUGGAAAGCAGUAUGGAGAUUUCUUGGAA
This is a long non-coding RNA of Marmota monax (woodchuck), 2578 nucleotides long. RefSeq lists it as uncharacterized. NCBI's taxonomy places the organism in Eukaryota, Metazoa, Chordata, Mammalia, Rodentia, Sciuridae. The record is from RefSeq and is a predicted model, not a curated record. The transcript has 3 exons.